AGAGUUUGAUCCUGGCUCAGGAUGAACGCUAGCGGCAGGCUUAACACAUGCAAGUCGAGGGGCAGCGCAGGUAGCAAUACCGGGCGGCGACCGGCAAACGGGUGCGGAACACGUACAGAACCUACCUUGAUCUGGGGCAUAGCCCGGAGAAAUCCGGAUUAACUCCCCAUAAUAUAAGAGAGUGGCAUCACUCAUUUAUUAAAAAUUUAUUGGAUCGAGAUGGCUGUGCGUCCCAUUAGCUAGUUGGUAGGGUAAAGGCCUACCAAGGCGACGAUGGGUAGCUGGUGUGAGAGCACGACCAGCCACACGGGCACUGAGACACGGGCCCGACUCCUACGGGAGGCAGCAGUGAGGAAUAUUGGUCAAUGGACGCAAGUCUGAACCAGCCAUGCCGCGUGAAGGAUGAAGGCCUUCUGGGUUGUAAACUUCUUUUAUGAGGGAAGAAACCCCAUUUUUCUAAAUGGGCCGACGGUACCUUAGGAAUAAGCACCGGCUAACUCCGUGCCAGCAGCCGCGGUAAUAC
RNAcentral lists this ribosomal RNA (523 nucleotides) under uncultured bacterium. Its description in RNAcentral is "bacterial SSU rRNA". It matches the Rfam family "Bacterial small subunit ribosomal RNA", at positions 8 to 526 of the family's 1533-position model. The record is from RNAcentral.